Molecule: long non-coding RNA, 202 nt
Filed under: Helianthus annuus (common sunflower)
Lineage: Eukaryota; Viridiplantae; Streptophyta; Magnoliopsida; Asterales; Asteraceae
Description: hypothetical non coding rna
Source: RNAcentral
UUGGCAUUUGCAUUUAGUAACAAGAAGCUCUCAACUCUCAAGAACUCUCAAGGCACUUCUGGAGCAAAUCUGAACGACAAGGCAGCAUCCUAGUGUUAACUAAGCAUCAAUAGGACCUUUAUAUAUGUUGAUUAGGAGGCCCAGUAAAAGCUACCACACUUACCGUUUGUGUUACAUACUUGCUCAGGUAAAUACAUUUUGA